RNAcentral lists this ribosomal RNA (635 nucleotides) under uncultured Oomycota. Its description in RNAcentral is "eukaryotic LSU rRNA". The stretch from base 274 to 428 matches the Rfam family "5.8S ribosomal RNA". The record is from RNAcentral. Lineage: Eukaryota; Oomycota.
AGUAAAAGUCGUAACAAGGUUUCCGUAGGUGAACCUGCGGAAGGAUCAUUUCCACACCUAAAAAACUUUCCACGUGAGCCGUAUCAACCCAAUGAAUAGGGGGUUUAUUUGGCGGCGGCUGCUGGCAUUUUUUUGCUGGCUGGCUACUGCUGAGCGAACCCUGAGAAGGUGAAUGUUCCGACUUUGGUUGGAAUUAGUAGCUUGAAUUGCAAACCCUUUCUUAAAUACUGAAUAUACCGUGGGGACGAAAGUCUCUGCUUUUAACUAGAUAGCAACUUUCAGCAGUGGAUGUCUAGGCUCGCACAUCGAUGAAGAACGCUGCGAACUGCGAUACGUAAUGCGAAUUGCAGGAUUCAGUGAGUCAUCGAAAUUUUGAACGCAUAUUGCACUCUCGGGGUAUUCCUGGGAGUAUGCCUGUAUCAGUGUCCGUACAUCAAACCUGGUUUUCUUCUUUCCGCGUAGUCGGUGGAGGAUAUGCCAGAUAUAAAGUGUCUUGUAGCUGGUUUUCGAAUCGGCAGCGAGUCCUUUGAAAUGUAUAGAACUGACUCUCUUUGUUCGAAAAGCGUGGCGUUGCUGGUUGUGAAGGCUGUCCGUGUGGCUAGUCGGCGACCGGUUUGUCUGCUAUGGUAAAUGGA